Molecule: ribosomal RNA, 432 nt
Filed under: Penicillium chrysogenum
Lineage: Eukaryota; Fungi; Ascomycota; Eurotiomycetes; Eurotiales; Aspergillaceae
Description: eukaryotic LSU rRNA
Rfam family: 5.8S ribosomal RNA (bases 101-254)
Source: RNAcentral
UGGCCGCCGGGGGGCUUACGCCCCCGGGCCCGCGCCCGCCGAAGACACCCUCGAACUCUGUCUGAAGAUUGUAGUCUGAGUGAAAAUAUAAAUUAUUUAAAACUUUCAACAACGGAUCUCUUGGUUCCGGCAUCGAUGAAGAACGCAGCGAAAUGCGAUACGUAAUGUGAAUUGCAAAUUCANGUGAAUCAUCGAGUCUUUGAACGCACAUUGCGCCCCCUGGUAUUCCGGGGGGCAUGCCUGUCCGAGCGUCAUUGCUGCCCUCAAGCACGGCUUGUGUGUUGGGCCCCGUCCUCCGAUCCCGGGGGACGGGCCCGAAAGGCAGCGGCGGCACCGCGUCCGGUCCUCGAGCGUAUGGGGCUUUGUCACCCGCUCUGUAGGCCCGGCCGGCGCUUGCCGAUCAACCCAAAUUUUUAUCCAGGUUGACUCGGA